RNAcentral lists this ribosomal RNA (400 nucleotides) under uncultured bacterium. RNAcentral's name for it is "bacterial SSU rRNA". It matches the Rfam family "Bacterial small subunit ribosomal RNA", at positions 355 to 772 of the family's 1533-position model. The record is from RNAcentral.
UGGGGAAUAUUGGACAAUGGGCGAAAGCCUGAUCCAGCAAUGCCGCGUGAGUGAUGAAGGCCUUAGGGUUGUAAAGCUCUUUUACCCGGGAUGAUAAUGACAGUACCGGGAGAAUAAGCCCCGGCUAACUCCGUGCCAGCAGCCGCGGUAAUACGGAGGGGGCUAGCGUUGUUCGGAAUUACUGGGCGUAAAGCGCACGUAGGCGGCUUUGUAAGUUAGAGGUGAAAGCCCGGGGCUCAACUCCGGAAUUGCCUUUAAGACUGCAUCGCUAGAAUUGUGGAGAGGUAAGUGGAAUUCCGAGUGUAGAGGUGAAAUUCGUAGAUAUUCGGAAGAACACCAGUGGCGAAGGCGGCUAUCUGGACGGUUUCUGACACUAAGACGCGAAAGCGUGGGGAGCAAA